This 27-nucleotide non-coding RNA is filed under the name Cricetulus griseus (Chinese hamster). Lineage: Eukaryota; Metazoa; Chordata; Mammalia; Rodentia; Cricetidae. The record is from RNAcentral.
GACCCUGUUGAUCUCAUAAGCUAAUAG